This 450-nucleotide ribosomal RNA is filed under the name Acanthamoeba sp. RNAcentral's name for it is "SSU rRNA". It matches the Rfam family "Eukaryotic small subunit ribosomal RNA", at positions 710 to 996 of the family's 1831-position model. The record is from RNAcentral. Lineage: Eukaryota; Discosea; Longamoebia; Acanthamoebidae. RNAcentral also lists the same sequence under 1 other name.
GUCAAACCGGUGACUGCGUGGCGUUGCGGGCUCGGUCCGUCGGUGCUCCCACUAAAAGCAUCGGCGUGUCAACCGGCCCGUUCGUCCCCUCCUUCUGGAUUCCCGUUCCUGCUAUUGAGUUAGUGGGGACGUCACAGGGAGCUCAUCGUCGUCAGCAAUGACGGCGCGGUGAGUUCCUGGGGCCCAGAUCGUUUACCGUGAAAAAAUUAGAGUGUUCAAAGCAGGCAGAUCCAAUUUUCUGCCACCGAAUACAUUAGCAUGGGAUAAUGGAAUAGGACCCUGUCCUCCUAUUUUCAGUUGGUUUGAAGACCAGGGUAAUGAUUAAUAGGGAUAGUUGGGGGGCAUUAAUAUUUAAUUGUCAGAGGUGAAAUUCUUGGAUUUAUGAAAGAUUAACUUCUGCGAAAGCAUCUGCCAAGGAUGUUUUCAUUAAUCAAGAACGAAAGUUAGGGG